AGAGUUUGAUCCUGGCUCAGAGCGAACGUUAGCGGCGGGCCUAACACAUGCAAGUCGAACGAGAAUGUAGGCUUCGGUCUACUAGUAAAGUGGCGGACGGGUGCGUAACACGUGGGUAAUCUACCUUCCGGCGGGGGACAACAGUCCGAAAGGAUUGCUAAUACCGCGUACGUCAGCGGCGCCUACGGGCGCUGUUGGGAAAGAUGGCCUCUCCUUGGAAGCUAUCACCGGAAGAUGAGCCCGCGUCCCAUCAGCUAGUUGGUGAGGUAACGGCUCACCAAGGCUUAGACGGGUAGCUGGUCUGAGAGGAUGAUCAGCCACACUGGGACUGCGACACGGCCCAGACUCCUACGGGAGGCAGCAGUGGGGAAUAUUGGGCAAUGGGCGAAAGCCUGACCCAGCCACGCCGCGUGAGUGAUGAAGGCCUUCGGGUCGUAAAGCUCUGUGGGGAGGGACGAACAAGCCUGGGGCUAAUCACCCGGGACCUGACGGUACCUCCUUAGCAAGCACCGGCUAACCCUGUGCCAGCAGCCGCGGUAAUACAGGGGGUGCAAACGUUGCUCGGAAUCAUUGGGCGUAAAGCGCACGUAGGCGGUUCGUUAUGUCGGAUGUGAAAGCCCUUGGCUUAACCGAGGAAGUGCAUCCGAAACUGGCGAGCUAGAGUACUAAAGAGGAUCGCGGAAUUCCCGGUGUAGAGGUGAAAUUCGUAGAUAUCGGGAGGAACACCGGUGGCGAAGGCGGCGAUCUGGGUAGAUACUGACGCUGAGGUGCGAAAGCGUGGGGAGCAAACAGGAUUAGAUACCCUAGUAGUCC
This 813-nucleotide ribosomal RNA is filed under the name uncultured bacterium. RNAcentral's name for it is "bacterial SSU rRNA". It matches the Rfam family "Bacterial small subunit ribosomal RNA", at positions 8 to 796 of the family's 1533-position model. The record is from RNAcentral.